AGCUUCUGUUUUGCUGGUGUAUUC
RNAcentral lists this non-coding RNA (24 nucleotides) under Arabidopsis thaliana (thale cress). The record is from RNAcentral. Lineage: Eukaryota; Viridiplantae; Streptophyta; Magnoliopsida; Brassicales; Brassicaceae.